This 893-nucleotide ribosomal RNA is filed under the name Cantellius euspinulosum. Its description in RNAcentral is "partial 16S large subunit ribosomal RNA". The stretch from base 411 to 604 matches the Rfam family "Bacterial large subunit ribosomal RNA", at positions 1702 to 2027 of the family's 2925-position model. Lineage: Eukaryota; Metazoa; Arthropoda; Thecostraca; Balanomorpha; Pyrgomatidae. The record is from RNAcentral.
AAAGAUCUAAGAAAAUUUAUUAGUUUUUGUAUCAAAAAAAUUGAAAAAGUUUUUUUAGUUGUAAAAUUCCAAUCGCUUUUAUUAAUAUCUAGUAACUUCAGAAAUAAAUUUAGUUUAGGAUGUGAAGAAUAUCUUUAUUUUAAAGAAGUUUUAAUUUCAUUCUUAAAUUUUAGGGGAUGAGCUCUAAAAUUAAAAUAUAAGAAUUUAUAUUUUUAAGUUUUUUAUAGGCUUAGAAUUAGCCACUUGAUAGUGUUAUAAAAUAAAAUUUUAAGUUUUAGAUUUAAUUUUCUUUCAUUUAUAUAUGAAGUUUAUUUUAAAAUUUAUAAAAAUGUGAAAAUAUGAUAGCAUUAGUAGAUAAAAUUAUAAUGAAUAAAAUUUAAAUUUUUCUAAAUUUUUUAAUUUAUAAAAAUUAGUAAAAGAACUCGGCAAAUAAAAUUUCCGAAUGUUUAUCAAAAACAUUUCCUCUUAGAAUAGGAGGUAAGGCCUGCUCACUGAUAAAUUUAAAGAGCCGCAGUAUCCUAACUGUGCUAAGGUAGCAUAAUCAUUAGUCUUUUAAUUGAAGACUGGUAUGAAUGGCUUAACGAGAAAUUGACUUUUUUUACUAUUCAAAUUGAAUUUAAUUUUUUAGUGAAAAAGCUAAAAUGUAUCAGAAAGACGAGAAGACCCUAUAGAGUUUUAUUUCGAUUUACAUUUUUUCUUAAUAGAUUUUUCAAAGAAUAAAUUUAAUUAGAUAUUUUGUUGGGGCGACAUUAAGAUAUAAAAAACUCUUUAUUUUUAAAAUUUUUAUAAAAAUAUUUUAUGAUCCUCUAAAAGGGAUCAAAAGAAAAAAUUACCUUAGGGAUAACAGCGUAAUCUUUUUUGAGAGUUCUAAUCGACAAAAAGGUUUGCGACCU